UAAUACGGAGGGGGUUAGCGUUGUUCGGAAUUACUGGGCGUAAAGCGUACGUAGGCGGAUUGGAAAGUAGGGGGUGAAAUCCCAGGGCUCAACCCUGGAACUGCCUCCUAAACUAUCAGUCUAGAGUUCGAGAGAGGUGAGUGGAAUUCCAAGUGUAGAGGUGAAAUUCGUAGAUAUUUGAAGGAACACCAGUGGCGAAGGCGGCUCACUAGCUCGAUACUGACGCUGAGGUACGAAAGUGUGGGGAGCAAACAGGAUUAGAUACCCUGGUAGUCCACACCGUAAACGAUGAAUGCCAGACGUCGGGGGGCUUGCCCUUCGGUGUCACACCUAACGGAUUAAGCAUUCCGCCUGGGGAGUACGGUCGCAAGAUUA
This 375-nucleotide ribosomal RNA is filed under the name uncultured Alphaproteobacteria bacterium. Its description in RNAcentral is "bacterial SSU rRNA". It matches the Rfam family "Bacterial small subunit ribosomal RNA", at positions 521 to 896 of the family's 1533-position model. The record is from RNAcentral. Lineage: Bacteria; Pseudomonadati; Pseudomonadota; Alphaproteobacteria.